CACCAGCGCCACAAGUGGGGACCGCUAUUAUUGGGCCUAAAGCGUCCGUAGCCGGAUUGGAAAAUCUCUCGUGAAAUGGUGAGGCCUAACCUCACCGCGUGCGGAGGACACUACCAAUCUAGAGACCGGGAGGAGUCAGAGGUAUUCAUGGGGUAGCGGUAAAAUGCAAUAAUCCCAUGAAGACCACCUGUGGCGAAGGCGUCUGACCAGAACGGGUCUGACGGUGAGGGACGAAAGCUGGGGGAGCGAUCCG
This 253-nucleotide ribosomal RNA is filed under the name uncultured archaeon. Its description in RNAcentral is "partial 16S ribosomal RNA". It matches the Rfam family "Archaeal small subunit ribosomal RNA", at positions 474 to 726 of the family's 1478-position model. The record is from RNAcentral.